This 497-nucleotide ribosomal RNA is filed under the name uncultured bacterium. RNAcentral describes it as "partial 16S ribosomal RNA". It matches the Rfam family "Bacterial small subunit ribosomal RNA", at positions 28 to 507 of the family's 1533-position model. The record is from RNAcentral.
GAUGAACGCUGGCGGCGUGCCUAAUACAUGCAAGUCGAGCGAACAGACGAGGCGCUUGCUGCUCUGACGUUAGCGGCGGACGGGUGAGUAACACGUGUAUCACCUACCUAUAAGACUGGGAUCACUUCGGGAAACCGGAGCUUAUACCGGAUAAUAUCUUGCACCGCAUGGUUCAAUAGUGAAAGUCGGUGUUGCUGUAUCUUCUAGCUGGAUACGGGCUGCAUUAGCUGGUUGGUAAGGAAACGGCUUACCAAGGCGACGAUGCGUAGCCGACCUGAGAGGGGGGUCGGCCACACUGGAGCGGAGACGCGGUCCAGACUCCUACGGGAGGCAGCAGUCGGGAAUCUUCCGCAAUGGGGGAAAGCCUGACGGAGCAACGCCGCGUGAGUGAUGAAGGUCUUCGGAGCGUAAAGCUCUGUUAUGAGGGGAGAACAAAUUUGUAAGUAACUGUGCAGUUCGUGACGGUACCGGGUCAGAAAGCCACGGCUAACUACGUG